GAUGAACGCUGGCGGCGUGCCUAAUACAUGCAAGUCGAGCGAACAGACGAGGAGCUUGCUCCUCUGACGUUGGCGGCGGACGGGUGAGUAACACGUGGAUAACCUACCUAUAAGACUGGGAUAACUUCGGGAAACCGGAGCUAAUACCGGAUAAUAUAUUGAACCGCAUGGUUCAAUAGUGAAAGACGGUUUUGCUGUCACUUAUAGAUGGAUCCGCGCCGCAUUAGCUAGUUGGUAAGGUAACGGCUUACCAAGGCAACGAUGCGUAGCCGACCUGAGAGGGUGAUCGGCCACACUGGAGCUGAGACACGGUCCAGGCUCCUACGGGAGGCAGCAGUAGGGAAUCUUCCGCAAUGGGCGAAAGCCUGACGGAGCAACGCCGCGUGAGUGAUGAAGGUCUUCGGAUCGUAAAACUCUGUUAUUAGGGAAGAACAAAUGUGUAAGUAACUAUGCACGUCUUGACGGUACCUAAUCAGAAAGCCACGGCUAACUACGUG
RNAcentral lists this ribosomal RNA (497 nucleotides) under uncultured bacterium. RNAcentral describes it as "partial 16S ribosomal RNA". It matches the Rfam family "Bacterial small subunit ribosomal RNA", at positions 28 to 507 of the family's 1533-position model. The record is from RNAcentral.